RNAcentral lists this long non-coding RNA (754 nucleotides) under Brassica napus (rape). RNAcentral's name for it is "long non-coding RNA (BNAP_LNC018389)". Lineage: Eukaryota; Viridiplantae; Streptophyta; Magnoliopsida; Brassicales; Brassicaceae. The record is from RNAcentral.
GCCUGGGCAUGGCAUUGUAUUCUAUUGCUCAUCAAUGUUCAUUUCCUUUUCUCUUGAAAGCUUCUGACUCUCUAAAGCCAAAUUAAUAUAUACACGCUUACAAAUCUAGCUAAUGGUUAACUGAUCAACAGCGUUCCCGGAAUGAAUCAGUUUACCUGCUUGGCUUAGUAAUUCAAGCAUCAUCAACAAGUGAGGAACGAACCUUCUUGUGAUACUCUGAGGGAAAAGAGUAGAAACCCUAGCUUGGUUGAAUAUUAUUACAUUCAGAGGAAAGCAUACAUAGACUAGCAAAAGAUUAUGAAAGCUGAAACAUAGUCACAGCUCAAACUCUCUCAGACAGAACAGAAGUUCCUUCAUCUCUUUCAGAUUCUUCUCCAAUUUCUUUCCGCUGCUUCCAUCCUUUCUUUCGUCAUGUUCAGGUACGUACCCAAAAAGAUGGUGUUUGGCGUUUCUACAUCUACCGGCAAUGGAGGGUACAUGGCGACUCCUGAACAGAAGACCAAAACAAAAAAGAAUUGAACCAAACUUGCUUGUUCUUAAAAAAAAAUGUAAUAGUGAGAGAAGAACCAAUUCAUACCAGCCUUGAAUCCAACGAACGCUAAUGUCCCUUUAACAACAAGUGCCCUCAACGUCAUCAUCUUCUUCGAUUCCGGAUUUUGAGAUUUGCCAAUUAGGGUUAAGUGCCACCGCUGCUUCUGUGUAAGUAAUAGCAAACCUACACAUGUCAAUUAGGGCCGAAGCCCGCAGCCCGAGC